GACGAACGCUGGCGGCGUGCUUAACACAUGCAAGUCGAACGAUGAACCCGGAGCUUGCUCUGGGGGAUUAGUGGCGAACGGGUGAGUAACACGUGAGUAACCUGCCCUGGACUCUGGGAUAAGCGUUGGAAACGACGUCUAAUCCCGGCUAGGACCUUGGACCUAUGGAUCUGGGGGGGAAGGUUUUUUCGGUCUGGGAUGGACUCGCGUCCUAUAGGCUUGUUGGUGAGGUAAUGGCGCACCAAGGCGUCGACGGUUAGCCGGCCGGAGAGGGUGACCGGCCACACUGGGAAUGAGACACGGCCCAGACUCCUACGGGAGGCAGCAGUGGGGAAUAUUGCACAAUGGGCGAAAGCCUGAUGCAGCAACGCCGCGUGCGGGAUGACGGCCUUCGGGUUGUAAACCGCUUUUAGUAGGGAAGAAGGGCUUCGGCUUGACGGUACCUGCAGAAAAAGGACCGGCUAACUACGUG
Molecule: ribosomal RNA, 472 nt
Filed under: uncultured bacterium
Lineage: Bacteria
Description: partial 16S ribosomal RNA
Rfam family: Bacterial small subunit ribosomal RNA
Source: RNAcentral